RNAcentral lists this ribosomal RNA (775 nucleotides) under uncultured Neocallimastigales. RNAcentral describes it as "partial large subunit ribosomal RNA". It matches the Rfam family "Eukaryotic large subunit ribosomal RNA", at positions 23 to 628 of the family's 3401-position model. The record is from RNAcentral. Lineage: Eukaryota; Fungi; Neocallimastigomycota; Neocallimastigomycetes; Neocallimastigales.
ACACGCAUGACACACUGCAUAUCAAUAAGCGGAGGAAAAGAAACUAACAAGGAUUCCCCUAGUAACGGCGAGUGAAGCGGGAAGAGCUCAAAUUUGAAAUCUUCAAGGGUUUCCCUUGACGAAUUGUAGUUUAAAGAAGUGUUUUCUGUUAGAGAGGUGGUAAAAGUUCUUUGGAAUAGGACAUCAUAGAGGGUGAGAAUCCCGUAUUUGAUCACUUUCUACUAACGUUGUGAUACACUUUCAAAGAGUCGGAUUGUUUGGGAAUGCAGUCCAAAAUGGGUGGUAAAUUUCAUCUAAAGCUAAAUAUUGGCGAGAGACCGAUAGCGAACAAGUACCGUGAGGGAAAGAUGAAAAGAACUUUGAAAAGAGAGUUAAACAGUACGUGAAAUUGUCAAAAGGGAAGCGUUUGACACCAGUGUUGUUUUUCCGAAAAUCAAUUAUGAAUGGCUUGAUUUUAAGUUUCAUGACCUUAAAAGCUUGUUUCUUAUUUUUCAUGUCUUUCGUAAUGCACUUUUCGGUUAACAAGUCAACAUCAAUUUCUUUUGUUGUAAAAGGUUAAGAGGAAGGUGGCUUUACUUUCGGGUAAAGUGUUUAUAGCCUUUUAACUCUGCAAUCGGAGAGAUUGAGGUCUGCAGCGUAGAUCCUUCGGGGCUAGAUACAUUUGAUGCUAAGUUAUAGCUUUUCAUAGACAACUUGUUGACUAUGUUAAGUCAUGUAGCUUACUCGUAGAUGCUAUUUUACCUACGCUUAGGAUGUUGAAGACUCUACAGAGAUA